This is a long non-coding RNA of Trifolium pratense (red clover), 482 nucleotides long. RefSeq lists it as uncharacterized. The record is from RefSeq and is a predicted model, not a curated record. Lineage: Eukaryota; Viridiplantae; Streptophyta; Magnoliopsida; Fabales; Fabaceae. The transcript is spliced from 3 exons.
UUGGCCGUGAGUGCCUUUUUCCAUUCCCUAACUUCACCAAAUUUUCCAUUCUUCACCAUUUGGUUCCAUUUCAAGCUUGGAAGCUCUAAGGAAAAGUGUAGAGAAUCACUUGCUUAAGGGCGCGCGAAAGUGUAGAAUUGUUCGAAGUUGUUUGAAAUUGGAAGCUUGCCGAGAUGAUGGUGUGCCACUUGAGGCCGUUGGUCGUGAGGAUGGCGAGGACUUCGUGGAUUAUGCCGGAGAGUAGAUGGUAGCUUUGGUUAGGCUACAUUUUUGUUUAGGCUUAGGGCCUAGUUUCUUUUGGAUGACUGUAUAGUAUACUCAGACAUGUUUAGUGCCUUUUGGCCGUGCGAUACAUUCGGUUCACGAGUUCUGUUUUGUUUAGGUAUGUGAACUUGAUGUAUCCUUUUGGAAUGUAAAUUAUUCAGGUGCACACUUUGCUUCUCGGAAGCCCGUGAAAUACAAUCUUUGAUAUUGUAUAUUGA